Molecule: ribosomal RNA, 254 nt
Filed under: uncultured bacterium
Lineage: Bacteria
Description: partial 16S ribosomal RNA
Rfam family: Bacterial small subunit ribosomal RNA
Source: RNAcentral
UACGUAGGGUGCGAGCGUUGUCCGGAAUUAUUGGGCGUAAAGGGCUCGUAGGCGGUUUGUCACGUCGGGAGUGAAAACUCGGGGCUCAACCCCGAGCCUGCUUCCGAUACGGGCAGACUAGAGGUAUGCAGGGGAGAAUGGAAAUUCCUGGUGUAGCGGUGAAAUGCGCAGAUAUCAGGAGGAACACCGGUGGCGAAGGCGGGUCUCUGGGCCGAUACUGACGCUGAGGAGCGAAAGCGUGGGGAGCGAACAGG